Molecule: long non-coding RNA, 326 nt
Filed under: Olea europaea subsp. europaea
Lineage: Eukaryota; Viridiplantae; Streptophyta; Magnoliopsida; Lamiales; Oleaceae
Source: RNAcentral
CUCCUUAUGAUGACCCCUGCGCCCGAGCCCGAGGAGUUUGAUGCUCCAUCCACGAAAAUUUGCCAAACAUCCGUUGUUGUGCUCGAGCUCUCUCUUCGCCCCCGAGGCUUUGGGGUGAGUUCUGCAAUAAAGUCCGCUAAAGCUUGGGCUUUGAUGGACGGACGAGGCUUGAACUCUAUGUCAAACUCCCCAAGUUCAAUUGCCCACUUUAGUUAUCUGCCUGAGACGUCUGGCUUUUGAAGGAUGUGUUUCAGAGGCUGAUUGGUGAGCACAACAAUGGGAUGAGACUGAAAAUAUUGUCGAAGCUUUCGUGCUACCACUAUCAG